CUGACCAAGGUCCCUCCAUGGGUCCCCAAAGGCCAGCACAGGGGUCUCAAACUCUUGCUGCUGGUGGGGGUGGGGCGGAUAGAGUGAACAAGUGAAGACCCUCCCAGCCAAAGGUGCCUGCAGGUGGCCCAGCAUGGCCUGAUCCUCCCCCCACUCCUGUUGCAGAGAAGCUUAGGAUCCAGGUAGGGACGGGGUCACUGCCGAUUUCUAACUGCUAUCGUCUAAUUGAAAAUGCAUGUGAAGAGCACUCGGUGGCCAGUGGAGACACGCACAGGAGGAAUUUGGCUCUGAAGCCCUGGACUCUGAGAGAGAGUGCUGGCCCCUUACCUAGGCGUUCGCAGUCCUCUGCCGCCAGCCUUGGUCCUCCCUUGCACGUCCGUCUCCUGACCUCGGCCUGGCCUGCUGGGCGCAGGCUGGCUUCUUGGCAGGCCAGGUCUCCCUCAUCUUUCCUGGUCCAUGUCCCUCCAGCCCACCAGAGUGGGGUCCCAAGCCGUGUCUCCCAGGCCCUCUUCCCAAGCGUCCCCACCUUCCGAGGUCACCUGUUCUCUCUCUGGGUCUCUCGAUCGUUGGUGUUGCUCUCUCUGUCUUUGUCACAGCUGCCCCGUCACAAAGUGCGUCGUGCACAGUAUCUGUUCUCCUGCUGGGUCUGAAGCCGCUGAGACUGUCGCUGGUCCAACUGGGGACCCUAAGGCCUACAGGGGGCCCUGCACAGUCGGGACAACGGCCAGCAUGGAUUGUGCCUUUGCGCUGAGUGGAUCGGGAGGACACUCCGGAUGAAUCUCAUCUAAUGCCACAGGCCCUUUGGGGAGAGACGUGUUUGCUGUCCCCGCUUGGUGGCAGUGGUAACUGGUCGGACCUCAAGGUUAUGUCAAACUUUCUUAUAAAUGGGGACUUUAAUCCUUGUUUGCAGACCAGAGUUUUACAGACAUGACUUCGUCCAACAGCUGUGACUUCUCGCACAGCCUGGUCUCCUGUCCCGCUGGUGUCUGGCAAGAGGGGACCCUGGGCUCCCUUUCUUCCCACCAUGGUCAAAAGAGUGACUGUCAAUCCAGGGGGCACAAGAAUCACCGCAGGUGCUGGUUAGGGGCGAUGUCUAAGCUCCAGCCCUAGACGUUCCGAUGCUGUCCGUCUGGGUGGGUCCCAGGAAGCCUCCAUUUUUAACCAUCACCUUAGGAGACUUCAGUGAGUGUAGGAAUGAAAAAUAAGUUGGCUUUUCUAUUUGUCUCCUGAAAAUUCCUCUUCACCUUUGGGGUAGUAGAUGAGUAACAGAGAACGGGAAUAUACUCCUGGGUGCUUUGUGUAAGUAAAAUCAUUUAAUCUUCCCAGUAAUCCAGAGAGGUGGGUGUCAUUAUUGCCCCCAUUCUACAGGUGAGGCAACUGAGGCUCAGAGGGACAAUGCCAACGGGUUGAGAGUGGCAAGUCUUGAUUUAUAGACACUCUGGCUGCACAGCCCGUCAUCUUCCUCUGGGAAGGAGAGAACGAGAAGGAGUUGAAGCGAAGGACGCACCCUGAGGUUUGAUUAUGCCACAGUGACUCCCUGGCUACCUGCAGAGACGGACUUUUGCAGAGGGCUCAGUGCCAGCAGUGGUAGCACCAAUAAUAAUAACAGCCAGUGUUCACCGGGCACCCAGCCUGUGCACCGCCAAGGCUCCAGACCCCAUCUCCUUCAGUCUGCACGGCAGCCCUGCAAGGCUCCCGGGCCCCACCACAGCCUCAGAAAAUCAGAAUCUUCAUGUGAACCUGAUCCCAGGGGAUGGAUCCUUACGGCGUGAUGACAUCCCUCUCUGGGGCUGUUGCUGGCAGAGGUGCAAGGAUGUCUCGGAAAGCGCCUGGUGCCUCGCAGGGAUGUGACCGGUGGUUAUAGGAUGAGUUGAUGGAUUGCUGGCGGCUGUGCCUUGCCCUGGGCUAAGGGCUUCAGAUGCAUGGGCCAAUACGACUGACUCCUCUAUAAGCUGCCGUGACGAUGGAGAAUGAGAUAAGGUGCGUUUAGGACCACCCUGUCCUUUGGGCUCCCACAUCCUGUGCUCUUUUCAAGAGACCCCCAACAGGGAGAGAAGCAGAGACCCUGUCCUGUCCACCCUCGGGGGUGAGGGGGCCCAGAGGGGCAGGGUGCCUGGCUGGGUAUGGCUCCCAGCUCACUGCCAAGCCGGCGGGGGGGCCGUGGGAGGGAGUGCGGGUGGCCUUGCUGGGUGAGGACCGCAGCAGCCCUGAGUCUGGUCUGACUCCUGUCUCUCCCAGAGCCGGGAGAGCCGGGGCUGGCUCCGGAGAGGCCGGGCAGGUUUGUGUUCCACAGCCCUGAGCCUCUAAACGGAGCUAACGCAGCGCAGCGAGGCCUCGCAGGCCCAUUAGAGCUGCACCGGCCGAUUGCAAAUCAAUGCUCUGAAAAGACACAGCGACCCAGGUGCAAGAGGCGGAGACAGCCGGCCCAGCCGGAGCUGGAGAGAGCCGCAGGAGCCAGGGCAGGCUGCCAGGAAAGGUGGCCAGGGGAGCCUGGGCCCGGAGCUGGAGGGCAGCACCCAGCAUCACGUGGCCUCUGUUGGGGGUCAGAUCCCUUAGGGGCCUGGGCCUGGGGACAGAAAAGCAAAAGGAGAA
Non-coding RNA from Microcebus murinus (gray mouse lemur), 2592 nucleotides. Lineage: Eukaryota; Metazoa; Chordata; Mammalia; Primates; Cheirogaleidae. The record is from RefSeq and is a predicted model, not a curated record.